GAGGAGGAGCCCGGAGAUGGGUACUGUGACAAGGACCCAGGCCCUAUGGGGCGCAGCAGGCGCGAAACCUCUGCAAUAGGCGAAAGCCUGACAGGGUUAUUCUGAGUGACUUUCGCUAAGAAAGUCUUUUGACACCUCUAAAAAUGGUGUAGAAUAAGGGGUGGGCAAGUCUGGUGUCAGCCGCCGCGGUAAUACCAGCACCCCGAGUGGUCGGGACGAUUAUUGGGCCUAAAGCAUCCGUAGCCGGUUUUACAAGUCCUCCGUUAAAUCCAACUGCUUAACAGAUGGGCCGCGGAGGAUACUAUAAGACUAGGAGGCAGGAGAGGCAAGCGGUACUCAGUGGGUAGGGGUAAAAUCCGUUGAUCCAUUGAAGACCACCAGUGGCGAAGGCGGCUUGCCAGAAUGCGCUCGACGGUGAGGGAUGAAAGCUGGGGGAGCAAACCGGAUUAGAUACCCGGGUAGUCCCAGCUGUAAACGAUGCAGACUCGGUGAUGGACUAGCUUCAUGCUAGUCCAGUGCCGCAGGGAAGCCGUUAAGUCUGCCGCCUGGGUAGUACGGUCGCAAGACUGAAACUUAA
This 577-nucleotide ribosomal RNA is filed under the name uncultured archaeon. RNAcentral's name for it is "bacterial SSU rRNA". It matches the Rfam family "Archaeal small subunit ribosomal RNA", at positions 280 to 859 of the family's 1478-position model. The record is from RNAcentral.